RNAcentral lists this long non-coding RNA (600 nucleotides) under Manacus vitellinus (golden-collared manakin). Its description in RNAcentral is "lncRNA (ENSMVIG00005011638.1)". The record is from RNAcentral. Lineage: Eukaryota; Metazoa; Chordata; Aves; Passeriformes; Pipridae.
CCAAGUCAGGUGGCCAAGCACCCACGGGCUAUGCCGACGCUGCACAGCCUGUUCUGUUGGUGCCCAGGACAGGACGGUUGUGGGAGGCAGAGGUGGGUGAACCCUGUCCAGACCUGCUGUCCCUGGCAGUGUCCUGUGCACCUGGAGGUGCCUACCAGCCUGCCCUCACAGGGACCUGGAGAGGUGACCCACUCUUCGGGCAUCUUGAAAGGAGGUGUAGAUGAGCUCAAGUCACAUCCUUUCUCAAGGAGGCUCAAGAGAAGUUUCAUCCCAGGGUGUAGAAAUGGAAAAUUAAAAACAGACUCAGGCAAAGUUGUUAUUCUCAGAAAAUACUGGUUAAUUCAAACAGAAACCUUGUGUGGAGUUGUCCCUAUUUCAACAAGGUUUUGCCAGGAAGAGUUUCACAUUUCCAGGUUUAAGUGCCUAGCCAAGCCAAAGAGGUCACACAGGAGGAGCCUGGAACCUGUGAGCCAAGUUACUCAGCUGACACUGGUGGCACAGAGAAGGAGCCCUAUGGUGAAGUCAUCCUUCCGAAUCAAAGAGAGCAGGGGCUGGAAAACAGGAGGAGCAACAGGAGUUGUUCCAGAGGAGCAACUCUAA